Molecule: ribosomal RNA, 468 nt
Filed under: uncultured bacterium
Lineage: Bacteria
Description: partial 16S ribosomal RNA
Rfam family: Bacterial small subunit ribosomal RNA
Source: RNAcentral
GACGAACGCUGGCGGCGUGCUUUACACAUGCAAGUCGAACGGAAAGGCCCUGCUUUUGUGGGGUGCUCGAGUGGCGAACGGGUGAGUAACACGUGAGUAACCUGCCCUUGACUUUGGGAUAACUUCAGGAAACUGGGGCUAAUACCGGAUAGGAGCUCCUGCUGCAUGGUGGGGGUUGGAAAGUUUCGGCGGUUGGGGAUGGACUCGCGGCUUAUCAGCUUGUUGGUGGGGUAGUGGCUUACCAAGGCUUUGACGGGUAGCCGGCCUGAGAGGGUGACCGGCCACAUUGGGACUGAGAUACGGCCCAGACUCCUACGGGAGGCAGCAGUGGGGUAUAUUGCACAAUGGGCGGAAGCCUGAUGCAGCAACGCCGCGUGCGGGAUGACGGCCUUCGGGUUGUAAACCGCUUUCGCCUGUGACGAAGCGUGAGUGACGGUAAUGGGUAAAGAAGCACCGGCUAACUACGUG